Molecule: long non-coding RNA, 1419 nt
Organism: Sapajus apella (tufted capuchin)
Lineage: Eukaryota; Metazoa; Chordata; Mammalia; Primates; Cebidae
Exons: 3
Source: RefSeq, a predicted model, not a curated record
CCACUGGAUGGUCUGGCUCUACCCAGAAACUGACGAGCUACUUCAAGGUGGGGAGGGGAAAAGGGGCUUCUGGCAGCUGGUGGGGAUGUUAGAAUUUGGGGGGUGUUUUCUGAGGAGGAACAGACCGUGUCCCUGGCAAAACACUCUCUUGAGGGCCAGCAGAUGGAAACUUCCAUCUGCACUAGCCACCUCCGAUGGGAAGCCGCUGACAAGGGCACCCCUUCCUCCCCCUCUCACUGUAAGGCAUAUUUCUGGAUGCACCCAAACGCUGUUCUUCCCUGGCUCCUUCCUGACUGCAGCCCCCUCCUCCCUCUCCCUUCUCAGCAUGUCCGUGGUGGGGUUCUCUGGACGUCUGUCCACUCCUUCAAGGAAGUCAUCACACUCGCCUAAGGACUUGGGCUCAGAGAGGCGCUCGACAGUCGUUUGCUGGAUUGUGUUAAUCUUGGUCUUUCAUAAUCUUUCCACCAAGCACCGGCCAGGCUUCCAGAGCUCUUGACCCCAUGAUUUUCUAUCCAAAUUCUGAAUAAGAAGGCCUAAUACGUGGCAUCAGAAAGGGCAGACGGGGGCUCUGCAUGGACCCACCAGGCCUCGGGAUGAAAGAGGAGGAGUGCUGCUGAAGCAAUCAUUUUGGCUCCUGUGGUUUCUGAUCUGCCUUUUGAAUUUGUUUUUCCCUGGAGGUGGGCCCCCAUUAGCCCAGAGGGCAGCCCCCUGCAGCAUACUCCAGUGACUUCCUUUCAAACCCGACACCUGGUGACCUUCAUCGAAACGCCAAGAGAUGGGCUGCCAGCCCACGGCCUGCAGCCUUGGAGGGAAAUUCUGCCACCAAGGAGUGGCCACCUUCCAAGGGAAGACAACGCAGAGCCGUUUGGAUGGCCUGGUGUGGUCAUAGCUCCAUGGGUCCUGUGGGGAGGUGGAUGGUGCCCGACUCUGCCUGGCUGCUUAGACCUGCACAGGCCCUGGCAAUCAUGCAGUGCUCAGGAGCAGGCACUCCCCAAAAGGUCCCCCAGGGCCCUCCUGCGUGGCUGCGUCAGCUCCACAUCACACCCCUGCUGCUAUCUCACUUCACACGAUGCCCACGAAGGGGGCAGUGCCAUAGAAUUUCAUAAACUGAUUCUGGGGCGAGCCAUUGCUCAUGGUUACCUACAGGACAGUCUUCCCACAGUAACUGUCUUCGGCUGCUGAGAUCUGCAGAGCUCUAACCAUUAUCCACAUUCAACACUCAGCAAUGGAUACCCAGGCUCCACAGGGCAACCCUGCACUGGACCCUGAUUUACUGUUUCCCCCCGAGGCGUUUGUGCUGGGGUCUUCUGUCCCUCAGGCAGUGUGCUGGGCACCCCCAUCGAGGCAUUUUCUUUGAAAACUUUGCCACAUGGUCUGAGAGAUCAUCAGCCAGCUGAGACAACUAUCCAAUAUGAAAGG